This is a long non-coding RNA of Homo sapiens (human), 1264 nucleotides long. Ensembl annotates it as survival associated mitochondrial melanoma specific oncogenic non-coding RNA. Its record names the gene SAMMSON. Lineage: Eukaryota; Metazoa; Chordata; Mammalia; Primates; Hominidae. The record is from Ensembl.
GGCGGGUCCCUGGCUCGGCUCUACCCCCAUGGAUCUAGGUGGGCUCAAUGUCAUCACAAGGGUGCUUAAGAGGGAAAGAGGAAGCCAUGAGGGUCAGAGUCAAAGGAAGACUUGAAGAUACUACACUGCGGACUUUAAAGAUGAAGGAAGGGGCGAAAACCAAGAAUGUGGGAAGCCUCUAGAAGCUAGAGAAGGCAAGGAAACAAAUUUUCCACUAGAGCCUCCAGAAGGAACACAGCCCUGCUGACCCACUGUAAUGUCUGACCUCUAGAUGUGUAAGGGUAGUAAGACUGAAAGUCUCAGAAAGGCACUGUUAAAUUCUUAUUCCUCAACUAUGCAACUCAAAACUGGGGUCCUCAGCAGUGAGCGAGGGGUGAGAGAAGACACUGUAUAAACAUGGCACAUCCUCCUGGAAAGUCAACUUUACUCAAAGGUUCUUACACACAGUGACAGCUAGCAGAGUCUAAAAUGCUGACAUUAUGACUUAGAGAUGUGAUAAAGAGAAACAUCUAUUGCAUUUUCUACAACAGCAGCAACUACAAAAAGAGACAAUAUCUAUUCAGCACCUACUGUGUUCCAGGCACACUAUAUGAAUUACUUUGUUUAAUUUGCAAGCAAUUUUGUGAGCUUAAGUGGCCCUUACUCCCUGGUUGGCUAAAUGUUACGAACUGAAGGUGGGUCCACCUAUCCUGUGCAGCAAAGCCAAACACUGACAUUGAGAUGGCAGCGAGAGAAAGAGUGAGGCAUUUGUUGCAGGGUGCCAACCAAGGAGAAUCAGGCAGCUGAUGCUGAACUCUUGAACUUCUUGACAGGUUACAGUUUCUGUGGUCAUGAGUCCAGCAUGACUGAGCUGAGCUUUCUGCCUCAGGGUCUCUCACAAGUCAACGUUCAAGUCAGAUUUUCUAGUUAACACAUCAAAAGUGUAUCUGUGUACAUGAAGUACGAAGAAAACAGUUCAAAGAGGACAGUCAAGCCCAUGCAUUUGAUUGGAUGCAGGUUUUUACAUUCAAUUCACGUCAAAGUUUGGUUUCUUCUCGCCAUACCAUGAUGGCCCGCCAUGAUGACAGAAGCUGCCUGCUUCACGCAUGUACUCUGGAGUGUUGCUCUCACCUCUGCCAGCAGGAGGAGCUCUUGCACUCAUGUGAGAACUGAAGUCAGCCAUGCCUCCAUGCUCAAGCAAAUGUCCUUGGAGGUGACACUCCAAGAUUGUUUUUGACUGAGGCGACUAAACCUGAAUUGGCAGUGAAAUAUUAAAAACGCAGGA